ACUCCUACGGGAGGCAUCAGUGGGAAUAUUGCACAAUGGGGAAGCCAUCGAUGCAGCCAUGCCGCGCUGUGUGAAGAAGGCCAAUUCGGGCUUGGUUAAGACACUUUUCAGUCGUGAGGAAGGUAGUGUAGUUAAUAGCUGCAUUAUUUGACGUUAGCGACAGAAGAAGCACCGGCUAACUCCGUGCCAGCAGCCGCGGUAAUACGGAGGGUGCGAGCGUUAAUCGGAAUUACUGGGCGUAAAGCGCAUGCAGGUGGUUUGUUAAGUCAGAUGUGAAAGCCCGGGGCUCAAGCCUCGGAAUUGCAUUUGAAACUGGCAGACUAGAGUACUGUAGAGGGGGU
RNAcentral lists this ribosomal RNA (341 nucleotides) under uncultured bacterium. RNAcentral's name for it is "bacterial SSU rRNA". It matches the Rfam family "Bacterial small subunit ribosomal RNA", at positions 335 to 661 of the family's 1533-position model. The record is from RNAcentral.